This 447-nucleotide ribosomal RNA is filed under the name Staphylococcus pasteuri. Its description in RNAcentral is "bacterial SSU rRNA". It matches the Rfam family "Bacterial small subunit ribosomal RNA", at positions 348 to 787 of the family's 1533-position model. The record is from RNAcentral. Lineage: Bacteria; Bacillati; Bacillota; Bacilli; Caryophanales; Staphylococcaceae.
GCAGCAGUAGGGAAUCUUCCGCAAUGGGCGAAAGCCUGACGGAGCAACGCCGCGUGAGUGAUGAAGGUCUUCGGAUCGUAAAACUCUGUUAUCAGGGAAGAACAAACGUGUAAGUAACUGUGCACGUCUUGACGGUACCUGAUCAGAAAGCCACGGCUAACUACGUGCCAGCAGCCGCGGUAAUACGUAGGUGGCAAGCGUUAUCCGGAAUUAUUGGGCGUAAAGCGCGCGUAGGCGGUUUUUUAAGUCUGAUGUGAAAGCCCACGGCUCAACCGUGGAGGGUCAUUGGAAACUGGAAAACUUGAGUGCAGAAGAGGAAAGUGGAAUUCCAUGUGUAGCGGUGAAAUGCGCAGAGAUAUGGAGGAACACCAGUGGCGAAGGCGACUUUCUGGUCUGUAACUGACGCUGAUGUGCGAAAGCGUGGGGAUCAAACAGGAUUAGAUACCC